AAGGAAGGCAGCAGGCGCGUAAAUUAUCCAAUCCCGAUACGGGGAGUAUAGUAGACAAGAAAUAUUGAUGUAGGGCCUUUUAGGUCUUACGAUCGAAAUGAGAACAAUUUAAAAACUUAGCGAAACAAUUGGAGGGCAAGUCUGGUGCCAGCAGCCGCGGUAAUUCCAGCUCCAAUAGUGUAUAUUAAGUUGUUGCGGUUAAAAGCUCGUAGUUGGACUUCGGAACGGGUUCGUUUGGCCCCCUUGGCUUAGGCUUUGGGAUCAGCGCUGGGCGGGCCCUUCUACAUGGGGACAUCACCCCUUCGGGGGCGUUCUCAAAUUUUACUUUGAAUUAAUUAGAGUGUUUUCAAACAGGCAAAUUGCCUUGAAUAUUUUAGCAUGGGAUAAUGAAAAGAUGACUUCGGUCAAUUUUUUGUUGGUUUCUUGGGCCGACGUAAUGAUUAAUAGGGGAC
RNAcentral lists this ribosomal RNA (452 nucleotides) under uncultured eukaryote. RNAcentral describes it as "bacterial SSU rRNA". It matches the Rfam family "Eukaryotic small subunit ribosomal RNA", at positions 418 to 880 of the family's 1831-position model. The record is from RNAcentral.